Molecule: long non-coding RNA, 1357 nt
Filed under: Musa acuminata (dwarf banana)
Lineage: Eukaryota; Viridiplantae; Streptophyta; Magnoliopsida; Zingiberales; Musaceae
Description: long non-coding RNA (MACU_LNC002257)
Source: RNAcentral
UAGAUAUUAAUCACUUUCGAACCGAUGUUGUAAUCUUUCUUUAUUAUUCUUAUCACUAAUGUUUCCCUUCUUUUUGUAAAUUUGUGUUCAUAUUCUGAGUUAUGUGGGAUGUUACUAUUUCAAGUCAAAUAUUACAUGUACUUGGUAAAAUUCUGACUGUAUCCAAAAAAUCUGUUCCUUUGAUUCUUGCUAUUCUAGAGGAAGUUCUAUAUAUGUCCAUUUCUAUUUCUUCUAUUAGUUUCUCAGUUAUCUCAUUGUACCAUUUCUGGCUUCUGCUAUUGACCUUUAUUUCCAGAGUGAUAUCCUAGGAUAGCAUACGCUAGCCAUGGUGAACCAAGCCAGACAGCAAGUGACUUGUUAGCAUUCCAUUGAAAUUCUGAGCAAUGUUAAUAUCUAUCAAGUUUUGUGAGUUCACUUUAUUGUUAUUGAUUUUGGCAUCAUACCUCUUGGCUUUUUGACGAAGGUGCAUAUAUACUUUGUGUUUUACUUUAAUGGUUUGCAAAUCCACCAUCAUGAAAACCUGCAUGACUGGAUAUUGUUUAUGGCUGUACUGUAGAUUGUUUUGGAAAUAUAUACCGUUUAUGGCUGUUGAAGAAUGUAGGUUGUCUUUACAGGGGUGUUUAGUUUAUACUUUUUUUUUUGUUAAAUCUCUAUUAGUACAAUCAUAUUUAAAUUCAUUGCAACUUGCUAAUAUUUUUAUAUAUGCCUAGUGUGAAACUAACCUCUGGUAGAGUUGAUGUCCUUUCAUUAGUGAUGCUUUUGUGCUUUUUCCCUGAUUCACUAAUACUUUGUUUCUAAACUUCUGGCUAGGUUCUUAUAUAUCUGUUGUUUAUGUUUCAUUCUUUUCUUGCAACAAUAUUUUCCUGACUUCUUUGUAUUCAUUACUUGUUGUGUCUUCCCUAAACACAAGAAACAUAUUUUAGAGAGAAGAUAUAUCACAAUAUUUGUGUUCUAAAACCAUUCUGUUCAUAUAAAUGUAGGAUAUCAAAAGCAUUAGUUUGACUGUUAUAUAGAAAAAUACAUACACAUAAAAUAUAAAAAUUAUAAAAUCUCUGCUUUCAGUUAAAAAAAGGUACUAGUCUUGAACAUCUACUGAAUUACAAGAGAUUUUUCAAUAAAAAGAACUUGAUAUUUCUGAUGAUAGGAUUCAAGAUAGUACAGGUUAGGACUGUGAUGAUAAAGGCAGAUUUGGAACUUGAAUUGGGUUGCCUUGAAAUGCUUGUGUUAUUGUUAAUGUCUUGUUGUUAUAGUUGUUCAAACCUGUGAUUAUGUUACUGUCCUUCAACCCUUCUGAAACUAUGGCCUGCUAGAUUCCUUCUCUUUUUGGUGCUCUGUAAUAUUAGCUGUUCUUGAAUCC